Molecule: ribosomal RNA, 468 nt
Filed under: uncultured bacterium
Lineage: Bacteria
Description: partial 16S ribosomal RNA
Rfam family: Bacterial small subunit ribosomal RNA
Source: RNAcentral
GACGAACGCUGGCGGCGUGCUUAACACAUGCAAGUCGAACGGAAAGGCCCUGCUUUUGUGGGGUGCUCGAGUGGCGAACGGGUGAGUAACACGUGAGUAACCUGCCCUUGACUUUGGGAUAACUUCAGGAAACUGGGGCUAAUACCGGAUAGGAGCUCCUGCUGCAUGGUGGGGGUUGGAAAGUUUCGGCGGUUGGGGAUGGACUCGCGGCUUAUCAGCUUGUUGGUGGGGUAGUGGCUUACCAAGGCUUUGACGGGUAGCCGGCCUGAGAGGGUGACCGGCCACAUUGGGACUGAGAUACGGCCCAGACUCCUACGGGAGGCAGCAGUGGGGAAUAGUGCACGAUGGGCGGAAGCCGGAUGCAGCAACGCCGCGUGCGGGAUGACGGCCUUCGGGUUGGAAACCGCUUUCGCCUGUGACGAAGCGUGAGUGACGGUAAUGGGUAAAGAAGCACCGGCUAACUACGUG